AGGGACGUCAACUGUUUCCCCUGGGAUGAUAAUGACAGUACCUAGUGAAGAAACCCCGGCUAACUCCGUGCCAGCAGCCGCGGUAAUACGGAGGGGGUUAGCGUUGUUCGGAAUUACUGGGCGUAAAGCGCACGUAGGCGGAUUAGAAAGUUAGAGGUGAAAUCCCGGGGCUCAACCCCGGAACUGCCUUUAAAACUACUAGUCUAGAGUUCGAGAGAGGUGAGUGGAAUUCCGAGUGUAGAGGUGAAAUUCGUAGAUAUUCGGAGGAACACCAGUGGCGAAGGCGGCUCACUGGCUCGAUACUGACGCUGAGGUGCGAAAGUGUGGGGAGCAAACAGGAUUAGAUACCCUGGUAGUCCACACCGUAAACGAUGAAUGCCAGUCGUCGGGUAGUAUACUAUUCGGUGACACACCUAACGGAUUAAGCAUUCCGCCUGGGGAGUACGGUCGCAAGAUUAAAACUCAAAGGAAUUGACGGGA
RNAcentral lists this ribosomal RNA (480 nucleotides) under uncultured Paracoccaceae bacterium. Its description in RNAcentral is "bacterial SSU rRNA". It matches the Rfam family "Bacterial small subunit ribosomal RNA", at positions 419 to 918 of the family's 1533-position model. The record is from RNAcentral. Lineage: Bacteria; Pseudomonadati; Pseudomonadota; Alphaproteobacteria; Rhodobacterales; Paracoccaceae.